ACGGUAAUUUUACGUUAGCUCCUUAGCCCACCGCGAAUGCUGCUAAGUAGGUUAUCAAAAGCAGGAGCAAAGCUUUAACUGCUGCUGAUUUAACUGCACUUUAGGACGAGAAAGUUUUCACAGAUGCAGCAAUUUUAGCUGGAAAUAAUAUCUCGUCGAUGAUACAGUUGUCUGAGGAUGUACUCAAACAGAUCUGAACACGGUUACAGGCGGCAGUACAGCGAGAGGAGUUCACGGCAACGGGAUGAAUAUGACGACAGAUGGGAGAAAAGGCGCGAACCUCCCAGAGACAUGCCACGGGAGUCGUAUCAUAAAUAUGGUGGGGAUGGACGCAGCAGUACAGAGAGAACAAGAAGUAGGGAGUACAGUGAGUCUCCGAAGAGGCUUUACAGCAAAGAUACACUGAACAGAGACUGGAGCAGGAAGAGCCCGGCGAGGAGACGCGCGUCUUCACCGGUGCGGGACCUCUCUGACAACAAAAAGCAGAGGUUUGCAGAUGACGACGAGCGGGAAUACAGGUACAGGCGUGAGGCUCAGGAGAAAACAUACAGGCCUUCACCGGACAGUUUUUCACGAUCGCAUCUAACCAGGAAUAUUGAAGAUGCGUCACCACAAAAUGAGGAUUUCAAGUACAGGAAAACACCUCAGGGCUCCAGGCACAGGCCUCGGCAUGAGGAGUUCCCAUACAGGCAGCUAAAUGAUGAGUUACCUUACAGACGACUGUCGGGGUCUUACAAAGAUGGAGAUGAAUAUGAGAGGGGCCGGGAUCCAUCACAAGAGAGGGCACGAUCACAGGAGAGGAGUUAUGUCAAUCCCAGAGAGAGGAUGGACAGUCCUCUCACUUCUGUAUAUGAUGAGGAUUAUCGCCAAGCUGGAGCAAGAUAUCCAUUGAAUGGCUCGAGCCGACAGUCUUUUGAGAGUGAUGCACCCAGUCGAAGUGCAGCUGUUUCUGAGCAGAAGUCAACCAAAGGCUUCCAGCGUUUCCUCGACGUGCUAAACAAGGGCGUGAAUGUCGACGUUCUCACUAAGAUUGUGACUCAGACCUCAGAUGACGACGAUCAACCCGUUUCUCAAACCUUAUUACCGAGCCCUGCUGAUCAUCUGUGGUCUCCCACUCACAAUGCUGGGAGGAAUCAAGGAAGCCACCAGGAUAACAGCUACUGGAGUGAGAGCGAAAGGUCCCGCAGACCAGUUUCCCCACAGACUCAUCGACGGUCCCUCAGCCCAAAACAGUGCCCACUCUCAGAUGAAAAGCCCCUUCAGGGGAAUGAUGGCAGGGAAGCCUACUUCCGCAGCAGAUCCAGGUCCCCCUUGGUGGUGGAAAGGGUGCCUCUGCCACCUGAGGAUGAACACAAGCAUAGGCAAAUGCAGGAUGUGCUGCAGGCCAUUGGCAUGGAUUUGGGAUUUGAAGAGCUUGGCCAAAUGUCUCAUAGAAUCCAGGAGCGGCUGUAUGGGAAGAAGGAUGGUGAUUUGGCUCGUAAAGUUGGGAGGGAGAAGGGUACGAGGCGACCGUAUUCCCCAAGACGUCAAAGUAGAGCAUCAUCAUCAUCAAGCAGAUCUAGUUUUAGCCCCUUAAAUCAGAAUUAUUACAGUAAAAAAGACUCGUACAGUGCAGAGAGGGAUGUAACGGAUGUGCAUCAAGUAUACAAAUCUGCUGAGUAUGACCAAAAGACGAGCAGCAGCUCAGUACAGGACAGUAAGAACUGCGAAAGGAAAUCUCAGGAGAGUGCUGCUGCAUUACAACCAUUUUCUCCUAAUUCCUCGUACCCUGCGUCCAAACCUCCAUCUGCUCCGGUGGUGCCGACAUACCCUCCGGUCAACUGCUCACCAAUGCCAUACCCACCUGUCUCGCCAGCUGUGCCUCCACCAAUGCCCCAUGUUGGGCCGGGGGUUAAUAUGCCACCCUUCGUCCCGUACCCCGGCAUCCCGCCUAUGAACAUGUAUCCAACCAUGCUCCCGCAAGCGAGCCACAUGUUCCUGCAUCACGUUAAUCAUCCACAGCCGCCGUAUUUCAGCCAAUCAAAUGUUAUUCAAACCAAAAAAAAGCCUGGAUGAACGAGGCUGCGCAGGGUGGAAGUGAGACUUUGAAACUGACUGAUGGAAACAGCUGGGCCUUCAGGGAGUCUCUUUUUAACCACAAAACACGCGUUUGAAGCAUCAGAGAACAUCACAGUGAACAUUUGCAGGCAACCAGACCAGCAGCAACUAAGAGAACAACACAAUGACAUUAUCAGCUACUGUAUCGUGAGUUUGAUGACAAACUGUAAGUGGUGCUGCAGCUCUUCUUGAUUCUUGGUCUGCUCCCAUACCCAUCACACAUUCACUAGUCUGCCACAACAUUAAAAUCACCGACAGUGGAAGUGGAAACAGCUCGGGUCCUUGAAUUCAUGCGGAUGGUAUUUUGACACCGUUACAGCUUUGAUGCAGACCAGGCAUUGGGCUGAUGGGCAGCAGCCUCCUCUUGUGUGGCAGUGCAACCCAUUAUACUACAACAAGUAUUAAGCCAGCCUACGAAGCUGGACCACCGUAAUUCUCAGAGGUUCACAGGACACAAAGGAUCCACUGCAGCGUCCGCUCGGAGGUCCUGCAUGCAUGCCUGGACUCCUCAGGCAGUAUGAAGCAGGUUGUUUUAAUGUUGUGGUUGGUUGGUGUAGCUUAUAAUAGUCAGGUCAUUCUAGGAAAAAAAUAAAACAAAUACUGAAACUACAAAAAUUUGUUAUUUUGUUAAAGUUUUACUAAAAUUUGAUGCAUUUUAUUUUUGUGGACAUCAUAUUUGUCUUCAUAUAGGAGCCUUUAUGUUCAUUAAUUAGCUCAAAGGCCAACCUACAACUAUAAGACAUGCUCUACACUUCUGUCUCUUUACAUAUUUUUCUUAUUCUGUAAACAUGCAGAAAUUUGCUGUAUAAAUAUUGAACUGGAUAAUAUUAAACACAAAGCAAAUACUCG
Long non-coding RNA from Oreochromis aureus, 2946 nucleotides. The record is from Ensembl. NCBI's taxonomy places the organism in Eukaryota, Metazoa, Chordata, Actinopteri, Cichliformes, Cichlidae.